RNAcentral lists this ribosomal RNA (254 nucleotides) under uncultured bacterium. Its description in RNAcentral is "partial 16S ribosomal RNA". It matches the Rfam family "Bacterial small subunit ribosomal RNA", at positions 524 to 776 of the family's 1533-position model. The record is from RNAcentral.
UACGAAGGGGGCUAGCGUUGCUCGGAAUCACUGGGCGUAAAGGGCGCGUAGGCGGCGUUUUAAGUCGGGGGUGAAAGCCUGUGGCUCAACCACAGAAUGGCCUUCGAUACUGGGACGCUUGAGUAUGGUAGAGGUUGGUGGAACUGCGAGUGUAGAGGUGAAAAUUCGUAGAUAUUCGCAAGAACACCGGUGGCGAAGGCGGCCAACUGGACCAUUACUGACGCUGAGGCGCGAAAGCGUGGGGAGCAAACAGG